Sceloporus undulatus (fence lizard) is the source of this 158-nucleotide long non-coding RNA. RefSeq lists it as uncharacterized. The record is from RefSeq and is a predicted model, not a curated record. The transcript is spliced from 3 exons. Lineage: Eukaryota; Metazoa; Chordata; Lepidosauria; Squamata; Phrynosomatidae.
UGAAGUGGCCCCACCAUCCAAGCGGCUAAAGACGUAUCUCUACAAUGGGAACAACAAGGAGCAGACAGAGGAGAACCAAAACAGAGAGCGGAUGCUUUCUGAAGUCAGGAAUAACAAGAAGAGCCUGGAAGAGAGUUGUCUGUCCUGUGGGGCGAAGA